This 46-nucleotide non-coding RNA is filed under the name Schistosoma margrebowiei. The record is from RNAcentral. Lineage: Eukaryota; Metazoa; Platyhelminthes; Trematoda; Strigeidida; Schistosomatidae.
GCACUACUGAAGAGUCCCACAAUAGGACGAAACGGCUUUCCAGUGC